UACGUAGGGGGCUAGCGUUGUCCGGAUUUAUUGGGCGUAAAGAGCGUGUAGGCGGCCAGGUAGGUCUGCUGUGAAAACUCGAGGCUCAACCUCGAGACGUCGGCGGAAACCAUCUGGCUAGAGUCCGGAAGAGGAGAGUGGAAUUCCUGGUGUAGCGGUGAAAUGCGCAGAUAUCAGGAAGAACACCAGUGGCGAAGGCGCUCUACUGGGCCACAACUGACGCUGAGGGACGAAAGCUAGGGGAGCGAAAGGG
RNAcentral lists this ribosomal RNA (253 nucleotides) under uncultured bacterium. Its description in RNAcentral is "partial 16S ribosomal RNA". It matches the Rfam family "Bacterial small subunit ribosomal RNA", at positions 524 to 776 of the family's 1533-position model. The record is from RNAcentral.